UACGUAGGGCGCAAGCGUUGUCCGGAAUUAUUGGGCGUAAAGAGCUCGUAGGCGGUUUGUCGCGUCGGCUGUGAAAACCUAAGGCUCAACCUUGGGCUUGCAGUGGGUACGGGCAGGCUAGAGUGCGGUAGGGGUGACUGGAAUUCCUGGUGUAGCGGUGGAAUGCGCAGAUAUCAGGAGGAACACCGAUGGCGAAGGCAGGUCACUGGGCCGCAACUGACGCUGAGGAGCGAAAGCAUGGGGAGCGAACAGG
This 253-nucleotide ribosomal RNA is filed under the name uncultured bacterium. Its description in RNAcentral is "partial 16S ribosomal RNA". It matches the Rfam family "Bacterial small subunit ribosomal RNA", at positions 524 to 776 of the family's 1533-position model. The record is from RNAcentral.